UCAACUGUGUCGUUCUAGUGCCUUUUGGCCUU
RNAcentral lists this non-coding RNA (32 nucleotides) under Homo sapiens (human). The record is from RNAcentral. Lineage: Eukaryota; Metazoa; Chordata; Mammalia; Primates; Hominidae.